GAUGAACGCUGGCGGCGUGCCUAAUACAUGCAAGUCGAGCGAACAGAUGAGGAGCUUGCUCCUCUGACGUUAGCGGCGGACGGGUGAGUAACACGUGGAUAACCUACCUAUAAGACUGGGAUAACUUCGGGAAACCGGAGCUAAUACCGGAUAAUAUAUUGAACCGCAUGGUUCAAUAGUGAAAGACGGUUUUGCUGUCACUUAUAGAUGGAUCCGCGCCGCAUUAGCUAGUUGGUAAGGUAACGGCUUACCAAGGCAACGAUGCGUAGCCGACCUGAGAGGGUGAUCGGCCACACUGGAACUGAGACACGGUCCAGACUCCUACGGGAGGCAGCAGUAGGGAAUCUUCCGCAAUGGGCGAAAGCCUGACGGAGCAACGCCGCGUGAGUGAUGAAGGUCUUCGGAUCGUAAAACUCUGUUAUUAGGGAAGAACAAAUGUGUAAAUAACUAUGCACGUCUUGACGGUACCUAAUCAGAAAGCCACGGCUAACUACGUG
RNAcentral lists this ribosomal RNA (497 nucleotides) under uncultured bacterium. RNAcentral describes it as "partial 16S ribosomal RNA". It matches the Rfam family "Bacterial small subunit ribosomal RNA", at positions 28 to 507 of the family's 1533-position model. The record is from RNAcentral.